Anas platyrhynchos (mallard) is the source of this 1692-nucleotide non-coding RNA. The record is from RefSeq and is a predicted model, not a curated record. Lineage: Eukaryota; Metazoa; Chordata; Aves; Anseriformes; Anatidae.
UGACACUCGCCCUCCUGACGGGCCGGGGGUGGGAAAGAAGCGGGGCACAAAGCCCCAAGCACGCAGAUAACUCGCUGGGAAGCAGCAGAGCCCUUUAAUCCCGGUUUCCUAUCGGAAACCACCCGAGCCCCUCACACCUCACCGUCCACGACGCGCUUUUUGCCCCGCUCUGGCGGGCAGGCCGUUUGAUUUCCUUUUUUUCUCUUUUAUUUUUAUUAUUUUUCUUCUUUCAGAGGAGCACAGCGAGCCGUGCCACCAGCAGUGGCACCGUUGCCAUCCCCAGCCCUGGGAAGCCCCCUUGGAAACAGCCGGCUCCUUCUCCCAGCCCGCUUCCCACCGCCGCUCGGCACGGACUGGAAGAUUAAUGAGGCUUUUUUAGCAACACCUGUCAUUUUGAGCUGUCGACACAACCAAUUAAUACUUUUAAUUACCCCUACAAGGAAACUAACCAGAGCCUUCCUGAUUCGAUUUGGCCAACGCGUUUCGCCCCCCGUGAAACGAAGCGGGGGGGGGGGCUCCUCUGGGCGCCUUUACCUCGGCUUGGGCUUCCCCUGGAGGACGGGGAGAUAUUUAUUUGGGGAGAGAAAAGACGGAAAUAAAUUUGUUUUCGGUCCUUUAGCAACAUUCGCCGCCGCCUCGGAGAAGCAGAGCCCCGGCUCGGGGCAGAUCUCAGCGCUCCCCAGGCCUCGCCGAGUUCUGCCAUAAAGGCGAUGUCCCACAUUAAAACAAUAUGAAUUCGCGGAUGGAUCCUGAAUAUGAAUGAGAUCCAGCUGUCAGAAGCCCGGGAUACCUCCCGCGUCUCAGCCUGCCCGUGCUGCCCCCUUCUCCCCCCCGCAUGUGUGCAGGGCGCUGGGGCUGGGGGCAAGCAGGUGGACGGCGGCGACCAUCUCCACCCGCAAAAAAAAAAAAAAAUAAAAAAAUAAAAUAAUAAUAAAUAAAAUGAAAUCGGUUCUUGGCAGGGCGGAGGUGGAGGGCAGAGCCGUGGUGAGCCUGGGAUGAGCAAAGCGGGCUCCGCGGUUUGGCGGUGCCGGGGACAUCGCGCUGGGUGCCAGCAGCUCUGCCCCUCCGGCCGCUGGGCGCAGGAGGAAUUCAGGGCGCUGGAGGCGAUGCUCUCUGCUCGCCUGCUCCUCUUUGCGCCCUCAGAUACGGGAUCUCGCCUAGAUGAGUUUCUACAGGGAGAUCAGAUAAUGGAUCCCUCCGGAUUACCUCUCUAAAUUAACUUUUAGAUUUGUUUUUAUAGUCUGUUGAGACCCUGACAAAAGAGGCUAUAGCUCGAUGGAGAUAGGAGAUAAACAUUUAAAGCAAUCUCAUUACACGGGAACGACUGAGGAACUCUCCUUGCAAUCUACUCUAGAUAACGAGGCUGCCUGAAGGAACAAGUAAAGCCGAGAUAUUUACUUCUUUUCCUAUUAAAUAAACCUCAAUAACUGCAUUGACUUUGCGCAGUGUUUACUACAUUUCUAUUCAAUGCUUGGGUAAAUGCAUCCCUAAAGGUAGAGUAAAUAAUUGCACUGAUCUCAACAAGGGAAAUGUGUAGGCAUCUGAAGUGUACUAAAAAUAAACGGAGGCGAAACAGCCUGGAGAGAGGACAUCGCGCUCGUUCGCUGCGAUUAAAGCCUCUGCUUUCACCCGCCCGCACCGGGGGCUGCCGAGCGCGGCCGGGUGACACCGGGAGCCGGCUGCGGCUCGGCC